CCCACGGGGGGCAGCAGUGGGGAAUAUUGGACAAUGGGGGGAACCCUGAUCCAGCCAUGCCGCGUGUGUGAAGAAGGCCCUCGGGUUGUAAAGCACUUUCAGUGAGGAAGAACGCCUGGUGGUUAAUACCCAUCAGGAAAGACAUCACUCACAGAAGAAGCACCGGCUAACUCCGUGCCAGCAGCCGCGGUAAUACGGAGGGUGCGAGCGUUAAUCGGAAUUACUGGGCGUAAAGCGCGCGUAGGUGGCUUGAUAAGCCGGUUGUGAAAGCCCCGGGCUCAACCUGGGAACGGCAUCCGGAACUGUCAAGCUAGAGUGCAGGAGAGGAAGGUAGAAUUCCCGGUGUAGCGGUGAAAUGCGUAGAGAUCGGGAGGAAUACCAGUGGCGAAGGCGGCCUUCUGGACUGACACUGACACUGAGGUGCGAAAGCGUGGGUAGCAAACAGGAUUAGAUACCCUAGUAGUC
This 465-nucleotide ribosomal RNA is filed under the name Vreelandella stevensii. RNAcentral describes it as "partial 16S ribosomal RNA". It matches the Rfam family "Bacterial small subunit ribosomal RNA", at positions 338 to 795 of the family's 1533-position model. The record is from RNAcentral. Lineage: Bacteria; Pseudomonadati; Pseudomonadota; Gammaproteobacteria; Oceanospirillales; Halomonadaceae.